UACGUAGGGGGCAAGCGUUGUCCGGAUUUAUUGGGCGUAAAGAGCGUGUAGGCGGCUUUACAGGUCCGUUGUGAAAACUCGAGGCUCAACCUCGAGACGCCGGUGGAAACCGUAAAGCUAGAGUCCGGAAGAGGAGAGUGGAAUUCCUGGUGUAGCGGUGAAAUGCGCAGAUAUCAGGAGGAACGCCCGUGGCGAAAGCGGCUCUCUGGGACGGUACUGACGCUGAGACGCGAAAGCGUGGGUAGCAAACAGG
RNAcentral lists this ribosomal RNA (253 nucleotides) under uncultured bacterium. RNAcentral's name for it is "partial 16S ribosomal RNA". It matches the Rfam family "Bacterial small subunit ribosomal RNA", at positions 524 to 776 of the family's 1533-position model. The record is from RNAcentral.